GCACAGCAGCUGCUGGCCCAGGUGCUAAGCCCCUCACUGCCUGGGGCUGGCGGGGCCGGCAGGCCGCUCCGAGUGCGGGCCCGCCGAGCCUACGCCCACCCGGAACUCGCGCUGGCCCGGAAGCACCGCGCGCAGCCCCGGUUCCGGCCCGCGCCUCUCCCUCCACACCUCCCCACAAGCUGAGGGAGCCGGCUGCGGCCUUCGCCAGCCCAGAAAGGGGCUCCUACAGUGCAGUGGCGGGCUGAAGGGCUGCUCAAGCGCCGCCAAAGUGGGAGCCCAGGCAGAGGAGGCGCCCAGAGCGAGCGAGGGCUGUGAGGACUGCCAGCACGCUGUCACCUCUCACUCAUAUAGAUUGCCAAUCUAUUUGUGAACCAGGUUUGCUGGAGUUUGGAUUUACUACUGAGUCAUAUUUGGAGCAUGCUGGAAUCUUACAACUGAGAUUACCGAGUCAGAAACUUGCAAACAUGAGUAACAUGGCCCUGCUCUGGAGACUACUGGGAACACAAACACAGCCAUUUAAGACAUCUACCUGCUUCUCCUUUGCCUUCCAUCAUGACUGAAAGUUGUCUGAGGUCUCCCAGCCACGUGUCCUGUACAGCCUGUGGAACUGUGGUACAGUUGAAGAAAGAGCUCAACUCUGGCAAAGGGAGACCAAGAGUAACCUCUGGUGUGGAAGUUGGCUGAGCACUCAGUGCCUGACUGUGCUAUACUCCUGUUGGACAUGAGCUGUCUCUCAGAACACCAAUUCAGACAAGGUUACUCCAAGACUAUGAUACAAUAAAGCAAAGCAAGGAUACUUCGUAAUUUUGUGGAAGCACAGACAAAAUCAAUAUCAGUAUGCCACCUACAAAAGACCAAACAGCCCUUCUCUUGGCCAAAAUGAGUGAUGUCUACUUCUUUACUAAUGAAGUUUUAUUUUUGUUCUAGUCAGCUCUCCAUCCAGAUGAGAUUUUUUGAGAUACCCAAUCUUAUAAUUGCCUCCAGCUUUCUGACAGCAUCUAAUUUUGGCAAACUCUCCCCUCCUUCUGUCCUCUCCCAAAUGACCUAACCUAAACCCCAAAUCUACAGAAAGUUAUUUCUAUUACCAUCUUACUGAGACACCCCAUGAUUCCUCAUGAUAUGUGUUAUUUGUCUGUGCAACAGGUAAUAAAUUGAACUUGUUCACUA
RNAcentral lists this long non-coding RNA (1167 nucleotides) under Homo sapiens (human). RNAcentral's name for it is "PREDICTED lncRNA (TCONS_00252761)". The record is from RNAcentral. Lineage: Eukaryota; Metazoa; Chordata; Mammalia; Primates; Hominidae.